Molecule: ribosomal RNA, 459 nt
Filed under: uncultured bacterium
Lineage: Bacteria
Description: partial 16S ribosomal RNA
Rfam family: Bacterial small subunit ribosomal RNA
Source: RNAcentral
CCUACGGGCGGCAGCAGUGAGGAAUAUUGGUCAAUGGGCGCGAGCCUGAACCAGCCAAGUCGCGUGAGGGAAGACGGUCCUAUGGAUUGUAAACCUCUUUUGUCGGGGAGCAAAAGACGCCACGCGUGGCGUUCCGAGAGUACCCGAAGAAAAAGCAUCGGCUAACUCCGUGCCAGCAGCCGCGGUAAUACGGAGGAUGCGAGCGUUAUCCGGAUUUAUUGGGUUUAAAGGGUGCGUAGGCGGAUUUUUAAGUCAGCGGUAAAAUGUCCGGGCUCAACCCGGGCCGGCCGUUGAAACUGGGGAUCUUGAGUGGGCGAGAAGUAUGCGGAAUGCGUGGUGUAGCGGUGAAAUGCUUAGAUAUCACGAAGAACCCCGAUUGCGAAGGCAGCUUACUAAACUGUGACUGACAUUGAUGCUCGAAAGUGUGGGUAUCAAACAGGAUUAGAUACCCUUGUAGUC